GAGAGCUUGCUCUCUGAUUCAGCGGCGGACGGGUGAGUAAUGCCUAGGAAUCUGCCUGGUAGUGGGGGACAACGUUUCGAAAGGAACGCUAAUACCGCAUACGUCCUACGGGAGAAAGCAGGGGACCUUCGGGCCUUGCGCUAUCAGAUGAGCCUAGGUCGGAUUAGCUAGUUGGUGAGGUAAUGGCUCACCAAGGCGACGAUCCGUAACUGGUCUGAGAGGAUGAUCAGUCACACUGGAACUGAGACACGGUCCAGACUCCUACGGGAGGCAGCAGUGGGGAAUAUUGGACAAUGGGCGAAAGCCUGAUCCAGCCAUGCCGCGUGUGUGAAGAAGGUCUUCGGAUUGUAAAGCACUUUAAGUUGGGAGGAAGGGUUGUAGAUUAAUACUCUGCAAUUUUGACGUUACCGACAGAAUAAGCACCGGCUAACUCUGUGCCAGCAGCCGCGGUAAUACAGAGGGUGCAAGCGUUAAUCGGAAUUACUGGGCGUAAAGCGCGCGUAGGUGGUUUGUUAAGUUGGAUGUGAAAGCCCCGGGCUCAACCUGGGAACUGCAUUCAAAACUGACAAGCUAGAGUAUGGUAGAGGGUGGUGGAAUUUCCUGUGUAGCGGUGAAAUGCGUAGAUAUAGGAAGGAACACCAGUGGCGAAGGCGACCACCUGGACUGAUACUGACACUGAGGUGCGAAAGCGUGGGGAGCAAACAGGAUUAGAUACCCUGGUAGUCCACGCCGUAAACGAUGUCAACUAGCCGUUGGGAGCCUUGAGCUCUUAGUGGCGCAGCUAACGCAUUAAGUUGACCGCCUGGGGAGUACGGCCGCAAGGUUAAAACUCAAAUGAAU
Molecule: ribosomal RNA, 840 nt
Filed under: Pseudomonas sp.
Lineage: Bacteria; Pseudomonadati; Pseudomonadota; Gammaproteobacteria; Pseudomonadales; Pseudomonadaceae
Description: bacterial SSU rRNA
Rfam family: Bacterial small subunit ribosomal RNA
Source: RNAcentral